AGCGCCUUGAUUAUCAUGGUAGCGUGCUGUCAUGGGGUGUCGGGGGUCGGAGGUUCAAAUCCUCUCGUGCCGACCA
This 76-nucleotide transfer RNA is filed under the name Enterobacter cloacae. RNAcentral's name for it is "tRNA-Pro". Lineage: Bacteria; Pseudomonadati; Pseudomonadota; Gammaproteobacteria; Enterobacterales; Enterobacteriaceae. The record is from RNAcentral.